UUAAGUUAGAAAGGGCGCACGGUGGAUGCCUUGGCACUAGGAGCCGAAGAAGGACGGGACUAACACCGAUAUGCUUUGGGGAGCUGUACGUAAGCGUUGAUCCAGAGAUUUCCGAAUGGGGGAACCCACUAUCUUUAGUCGGAUAGUAUCCUUACGUGAAUACAUAGCGUGAGGAAGGCAGACCCAGGGAACUGAAACAUCUAAGUACCUGGAGGAAGAGAAAGAAAAAUCGAUUUCCUGAGUAGCGGCGAGCGAAACGGAAAGAGCCCAAACCAAGAAGCUUGCUUCUUGGGGUUGUAGGACACUCUAUACGGAGUUACAAAAGAAAGUUAUAAAUGAAGCGGUCUGGAAAGGCCCGCCAAAGACGGUAACAGCCCGGUAGUUGAAAUAGCUUUCCCUCCAGAGUGGAUCCUGAGUACGGCGGAACACGUGAAAUUCCGUCGGAAUCCGGGAGGACCAUCUCCCAAGGCUAAAUACUCCCUAGUGACCGAUAGUGAACCAGUACCGUGAGGGAAAGGUGAAAAGCACCCCGGAAGGGGAGUGAAACAGUUCCUGAAACCGUGUGCCUACAAGUAGUUAGAGCCCGUUAAUGGGUGAUAGCGUGCCUUUUGUAGAAUGAACCGGCGAGUUACGAUUUGUUGCAAGGUUAAGCGGAAAAAGCGGAGCCGUAGCGAAAGCGAGUCUGAAUAGGGCGCAUAAGUAACAGGUCGUAGACCCGAAACCAGGUGAUCUACCCAUGUCCAGGAUGAAGGUAAGGUAAUACUUACUGGAGGUCCGAACCCACGCACGUUGAAAAGUGCGGGGAUGAGGUGUGGGUAGCGGAGAAAUUCCAAUCGAACUUGGAGAUAGCUGGUUCUCUCCGAAAUAGCUUUAGGGCUAGCCUCGAGGUAAAGAGUCAUGGAGGUAGAGCACUGUUUGGACUAGGGGCCCUUCUCGGGUUACCGAAUUCAGAUAAACUCCGAAUGCCAUGUACUUAUACUCGGGAGUCAGACUGCGAGUGAUAAGAUCCGUAGUCGAAAGGGAAACAGCCCAGACCACCAGUUAAGGUCCCCAAAUAUAUGUUAAGUGGAAAAGGAUGUGGGGUUGCUUAGACAACCAGGAUGUUGGCUUAGAAGCAGCCACCAUUGAAAGAGUGCGUAAUAGCUCACUGGUCGAGUGACCCCGCGCCGAAAAUGUACCGGGGCUAAACAUAUUACCGAAACUGUGGAUGAACCUCUUUAGAGGUUCGUGGUAGGAGAGCGUUCUAAGGGCGGUGAAGUCAGACCGGAAGGACUGGUGGAGCGCUUAGAAGUGAGAAUGCCGGUAUGAGUAGCGAAAGAAGGGUGAGAAUCCCUUCCACCGAAUAUCUAAGGUUUCCUGAGGAAGGCUCGUCCGCUCAGGGUUAGUCGGGACCUAAGCCGAGGCCGAUAGGCGUAGGCGAUGGACAACAGGUAGAGAUUCCUGUACCAGUGCUAAUUGUUUAACCGAUGGGGUGACACAGAAGGAUAGGGAAUCGCACGAAUGGAAAUGUGCGUCCAAGCAGUGAGUGUGAGAAGUAGGCAAAUCCGCUUCUCGCGAAGCAUGAGCUGUGAUGGGGAAGGAAAUUAAGUACGGAAGUUCCUGAUUUCACGCUGUCAAGAAAAGCCUCUAGGAAGAGUAGUACUGCCCGUACCGCAAACCGACACAGGUAGAUGAGGAGAGAAUCCUAAGGUGAGCGAGAGAACUCUCGUUAAGGAACUCGGCAAAAUGACCCCGUAACUUCGGGAGAAGGGGUGCUCUAUUAGGGUGCAAGCCCGAGAGAGCCGCAGUGAAUAGGCCCAGGCGACUGUUUAGCAAAAACACAGGUCUCUGCAAAACCGUAAGGUGACGUAUAGGGGCUGACGCCUGCCCGGUGCUGGAAGGUUAAGAGGAGUGCUUAGCUUCGGCGAAGGUACGAAUUGAAGCCCCAGUAAACGGCGGCCGUAACUAUAACGGUCCUAAGGUAGCGAAAUUCCUUGUCGGGUAAGUUCCGACCCGCACGAAAGGCGCAACGAUCUGGGCACUGUCUCAACGAGAGACUCGGUGAAAUUAUAGUACCUGUGAAGAUGCAGGUUACCCGCGACAGGACGGAAAGACCCCGUGGAGCUUUACUGCAACCUGAUAUGGAAUGUUUGUACCGCUUGUACAGGAUAGGUAGGAGCCGAAGAGACGUGUGCGCUAGCGAAGUCAAUUUGACGCAAGGAAUCUUAUUCACGGUGUUGAAUAAGUAUUCAAAUUCAAUUUAUAUUUUAAAGAGAGUUUGAUCCUGGCUCAGGACGAACGCUGGCGGCGUGCCUAAUACAUGCAAGUCGAACGAACGGAGGAAGAGCUUGCUCUUCCAAAGUUAGUGGCGGACGGGUGAGUAACACGUGGGCAACCUGCCUGUAAGUUGGGGAUAACUCCGGGAAACCGGGGCUAAUACCGAAUGAUAGAAUGUGGCGCAUGCCACGCUUUUGAAAGAUGGUUUCGGCUAUCGCUUACAGAUGGGCCCGCGGUGCAUUAGCUAGUUGGUAGGGUAAUGGCCUACCAAGGCAACGAUGCAUAGCCGACCUGAGAGGGUGAUCGGCCACACUGGGACUGAGACACGGCCCAGACUCCUACGGGAGGCAGCAGUAGGGAAUCUUCCGCAAUGGACGAAAGUCUGACGGAGCAACGCCGCGUGUAUGAAGAAGGUUUUCGGAUCGUAAAGUACUGUUGUUAGAGAAGAACAAGGAUAAGAGUAACUGCUUGUCCCUUGACGGUAUCUAACCAGAAAGCCACGGCUAACUACGUGCCAGCAGCCGCGGUAAUACGUAGGUGGCAAGCGUUGUCCGGAUUUAUUGGGCGUAAAGCGCGCGCAGGCGGUCUUUUAAGUCUGAUGUGAAAGCCCCCGGCUUAACCG
This 2878-nucleotide ribosomal RNA is filed under the name Listeria monocytogenes. RNAcentral describes it as "bacterial LSU rRNA". The stretch from base 1 to 2335 matches the Rfam family "Bacterial large subunit ribosomal RNA". The record is from RNAcentral. Lineage: Bacteria; Bacillati; Bacillota; Bacilli; Caryophanales; Listeriaceae.